GGCGAACGGGUGAGUAACACGUGGGUGAUCUGCCCUGCACUCUGGGAUAAGCCUGGGAAACUGGGUCUAAUACCGGAUAGGACCAUGCUUUAGUGUGUGUGGUGGAAAGGUUUUCGGUGUAGGAUGAGCCCGCGGCCUAUCAGCUUGUUGGUGGGGUAAUGGCCUACCAAGGCGGCGACGGGUAGCCGGACUGAGAGGUUGGUCGGCCACAUUGGGACUGAGAUACGGCCCAG
RNAcentral lists this ribosomal RNA (233 nucleotides) under uncultured Actinomycetales bacterium. Its description in RNAcentral is "partial 16S ribosomal RNA". It matches the Rfam family "Bacterial small subunit ribosomal RNA", at positions 97 to 334 of the family's 1533-position model. Lineage: Bacteria; Bacillati; Actinomycetota; Actinomycetes; Actinomycetales. The record is from RNAcentral.